Molecule: non-coding RNA, 379 nt
Organism: Pelobates cultripes (western spadefoot toad)
Lineage: Eukaryota; Metazoa; Chordata; Amphibia; Anura; Pelobatidae
Source: the annotation of a GenBank genome assembly
GUCCCAUUUUCUACCCUAGAUGUGAAUGUGAAAAGGGUUACUUCCCUCCUGUUACCGCAAUACACAUAUGUAUGAUGUAAGCAAGUUACCUCUUGGGUGAAUGCUGUGCAUUACCUUAUUCACAAAAUGGUGAAAGACAUUUACAGCCAUAUAGACAAAAACAGAAAAAUUGAUAACCUGCGCCUAAAACCUAUAAAUCUUUAGGUGGAAUCAAAAACAGGGUCUUGUUUGAUGACGAAUCUCUCAAAAAGACAAAAAGGAUUCCACCUAACGAUUUAAAGGUUUUAGGCACGGGUUAUCAAUUUUUCUGUUUUGGUCUAUUUUGUGUUGUCACAAGGUUGGGGAUAACACCUCAUAUCCAUUUACAGCCAUAUCUACA